RNAcentral lists this ribosomal RNA (253 nucleotides) under uncultured bacterium. RNAcentral describes it as "partial 16S ribosomal RNA". It matches the Rfam family "Bacterial small subunit ribosomal RNA", at positions 524 to 776 of the family's 1533-position model. The record is from RNAcentral.
UACGUAGGGUGCGAGCGUUAAUCGGAAUUACUGGGCGUAAAGCGUGCGCAGGCGGUUUUUUAAGCCAGAUGUGAAAGCCCCGGGCUCAACCUGGGAAUGGCAUUUGGGACUGUAAGGCUGGAGUAUGGCAGAGGAGACUAGAAUUCCUGGUGUAGCAGUGAAAUGCGUAGAUAUCAGGAGGAAUACCGAUGGCGAAGGCAGGUCUCUGGGCCAAUACUGACGCUCAUGCACGAAAGCGUGGGGAGCAAACAGG